ACAAAUUCCAAAUUUAUGGGGAUUGUUAAAUUUUAUAUUAAUCCAUGUUGGUGUGCAUAGGUAGAUAGAUACAUUGUGUGGGUGCAAGUUACAUUGCUGGAAAAAGACUCCUGUGUUAUUAACAAGUUCUUAAUUACUGGCCGGCCUCUAAUUUAACAGAUCUAAAAUCUGAUAUGUUUCAUC
Long non-coding RNA from Octopus sinensis (East Asian common octopus), 183 nucleotides. RefSeq lists it as uncharacterized. The transcript is spliced from 2 exons. NCBI's taxonomy places the organism in Eukaryota, Metazoa, Mollusca, Cephalopoda, Octopoda, Octopodidae. The record is from RefSeq and is a predicted model, not a curated record.